CUGGAACCCAGCAGAGAACCUGGACUAAGAGUGGGGGAGGAGGGGUGCCUCUUCAGGCAAUUUUCCCAGAAAAAUCUGUUGCUAAAUACCUAAUGCACUUCUGAAUUUUGUUUCCUUCCUCUGUCCUGUACUUCUUCAUUAGUCAAAAUGAAUCUGUGGUAUCUAAAUGCACUUCUGUUUUUGAGUCAAGUCUCUUGAAAAAGGGACCCUGACAAGGUUUCCUGUUGGGUAUGUUUUGGAGCUGAGGCCUUCUGAGAAACUGAGGCACCAUGAAGACCCCCUCUUCAAACCCUGAUUCUUACGAUCAAGUCAGAGAGAUUUCAGACAUGUCACUCAGCCUAACAGGAAUGAGUUUAUUGAAAGGAUAGGAAAAAGGAGGGGAGUGGGUCCUUUCAGAAAGGAAAGGGACAAUUUGCCUCUCCUGCACUCCAAUUUUAUUCCCAGAGAAGUUUCCAGAGAGUUCUGCCCAGGUCUACCUCUUGACUUUUGACUGACAGCAGAGUGACAUCAGACUUUCAAGUUCCCACUGCCAUGGCAACUCUGGGUCACUUUGGCCCAUGCUGACCAGUUCUAAUUGGAUUCUUAACCAUACAUUCUUACAGACUUUAUCGUUAGGAGAAACUACCCUUAUCUCUUAGAGUUUCACAAUCUGAUCACAAAAGUCUCUUCCUUCAGGGUGUCUCAGGUUCUUCUCAUCAACAUUAAUUUGGACAUGCAUUUCUCCUGCAGUAAACAGGUAGUUUGCUGGAAAAUGUGACAUAGCCUGUCCACCGAGGUCAGGCAGGGCUGCAGGCAAAUUGCCUCUUGGAAAAGAAAGCAUGUGGGGGUCAGCACAGUGGGCCCAUCUUACAGAAUUAUUCUCUUAGCCUCAUGUUCCCACCGUUCAGGUCUGUCUGUCCCCUAACAGGUACAGGUAAACAGUCACUGAAAACACAUUCAGCAUUAAGAGAAUUCAUUAAAAGAAUGUUUCUCCAACAACUCUGCCCUUUUUAUUUAAUAGAUUCUUCAUGGUGUAUAUGGGGGUUCUUCAGUUCUUAUUCACAAAUAGGUAUAUAUAAGCUAAAUAAUCAAUAACAUGAAUUUAAUUUUCCUCAGGGAGAACAUUUUGUGAAUUCCUGGGUUAAAAGAGAAUUGCUUAUGGCAUCAGGUAAAAACUCAGAAAUAUUCCAAAGGCUUUGCUUGUUUAUUUCUUCUUUGGCAUUUUGAUUCCCAUCAUUUUUUUUAAACUCUCC
Molecule: long non-coding RNA, 1232 nt
Filed under: Marmota monax (woodchuck)
Lineage: Eukaryota; Metazoa; Chordata; Mammalia; Rodentia; Sciuridae
Source: RNAcentral